RNAcentral lists this ribosomal RNA (502 nucleotides) under uncultured bacterium. RNAcentral's name for it is "partial 16S ribosomal RNA". It matches the Rfam family "Bacterial small subunit ribosomal RNA", at positions 30 to 523 of the family's 1533-position model. The record is from RNAcentral.
AUUGAACGCUGGCGGCAUGCCUUACACAUGCAAGUCGAACGGCAGCACGGGAGCUUGCUCCUGGUGGCGAGUGGCGAACGGGUGAGUAAUACAUCGGAACGUACCCAGUAGUGGGGGAUAACGCACCGACAGGUGCGCUAAUACCGCAUACGACCUACGGGUGAAAGCGGGGGACCGUAAGGCCUCGCGCUAUUGGAGCGGCCGAUGUCUGCUUAGCUAGUUGGUGAGGUAAAGGCUCACCAAGGCUUCGAUCAGUAGCUGGUCUGAGAGGACGAUCAGCCACACUGGGACUGAGACACGGCCCAGACUCCUACGGGAGGCAGCAGUGGGGAAUUUUGGACAAUGGGCGAAAGCCUGAUCCAGCAAUGCCGCGUGUGCGAAGAAGGCCUUCGGGUUGUAAAGCACUUUUGUCAGGGAAGAAAUCUUUUAGGCUAAUACCCUGGAAGGGUGACGGUACCUGAAGAAUAAGCACCGGCUAACUACGUGCCAGCCGCCGCUGUAA